UUGAGCCGUAUGCGGGGAAACUCGCAAGUACGGUUCUUAGAGGGGCUGGCGGGGGCGUAAGCCCCCCUGGCCUACUCGGC
Beta vulgaris subsp. vulgaris (sugar beet) is the source of this 80-nucleotide non-coding RNA. Lineage: Eukaryota; Viridiplantae; Streptophyta; Magnoliopsida; Caryophyllales; Amaranthaceae. The record is from Rfam.